This 241-nucleotide unclassified non-coding RNA is filed under the name Hevea brasiliensis (rubber tree). The record is from RNAcentral. Lineage: Eukaryota; Viridiplantae; Streptophyta; Magnoliopsida; Malpighiales; Euphorbiaceae.
AAUAAUUGGUUCAGCCCCAUGUUCCUGCACCCAAGCAUGAAUCUUGGGCAAGAACUUGUUCUUUUUUCUCUGGUAAUCCUUCUCAUUCAUGUUAACCAGGUAAACAACAGGCUUGGCAGUUAGCAACUGAAACGUAUUCAAUAUCUCAAUAUCAGCAGCCUUCCAGUCUCCUAGGCGAACAUCUUUACCCCCCUCAAGCCAUGCCUUAACCCUUUCACACAACUCGUGCUCUAUUUUUAAA